CUUCAAGUAAUGGUAGAUCCCCGAGGCGGCGGCCACUCCACUGGAGCCAGAGACGUUUAUCGUGUUCGGCCUAUUCGAGCUCAGCCGGCCAGAAUGGAAGAAUCAGGUCCUGCAAUUGUACAACUCAAUCACAAAAAUGGUGGACAUAAGGCAACAGAGAGAAAAGAGCUGAUGACUUCUUCAGGCAAAAUCCAUUUCUAGCUACCUACCAAUGGGAAAGCGAAUUAUCUCAUAGUAGU
Molecule: long non-coding RNA, 239 nt
Organism: Thamnophis elegans (Western terrestrial garter snake)
Lineage: Eukaryota; Metazoa; Chordata; Lepidosauria; Squamata; Natricidae
Exons: 3
Source: RefSeq, a predicted model, not a curated record